AUUGAACGCUGGCGGCAGGCCUAACACAUGCAAGUCGAACGGCAGCACAGAAGAGCUUGCUCUUUGGGUGGCGAGUGGCGGACGGGUGAGUAACACGUAGGAAUCUACCCAGUAGUGGGGGAUAACCUGGGGAAACCCAGGCUAAUACCGCAUACGCCCUGAGGGGGAAAGCGGGGGAUCUUCGGACCUCGCGCUAUUGGAUGAGCCUGCGUCGGACUAGCUAGUUGGUGGGGUAAGGGCCCACCAAGGCGACGAUCCGUAGCUGGUCUGAGAGGAUGACCAGUCACACCGGAACUGAGACACGGUCCGGACUCCUACGGGAGGCAGCAGUCGGGAAUUUUGGGCAAUGGGCGCAAGCCUGACCCAGCCAUGCCGCGUGUGUGAAGAAGGCC
Molecule: ribosomal RNA, 392 nt
Filed under: uncultured bacterium
Lineage: Bacteria
Description: bacterial SSU rRNA
Rfam family: Bacterial small subunit ribosomal RNA
Source: RNAcentral